Molecule: ribosomal RNA, 491 nt
Filed under: uncultured bacterium
Lineage: Bacteria
Description: partial 16S ribosomal RNA
Rfam family: Bacterial small subunit ribosomal RNA
Source: RNAcentral
ACUCAAAUGAAUUGACGGGGACCCGCACAACCGGUGGAGCGUGUGGUUCAAUUCGAGACAAAGCGAAAAACCUUACCAGGGCUUGACAUGUAAUCGUUUUAUACCUUUGGAAACUUAGGUAGAUCCGCAAGGAUGAUUACACAGGUGCUGCAUGGUUGUCGUCAGUUCGUGCCGUGAGGUGUUCCCUUAAGUGGGGAAACGAACGCAACCCCUGUGAAAUGUUACAUAUUCAUUUCAGACGGUCCCGAUUUUAUCGGGAAGGAAGGCGGGGCAGAUGUCAAAUCAGCACGGCCCUUAUGCCCUGGGUCACACACACCCUACAAUGGCGAAAAACAACGUGUUGCAAGCUAGCAAUAGCAAGCUAAUCACUCAAAUUUCGCCUCAGUUCAGAUUGGAGUCUGCAACCCGACUCCAUGAAGUCGGAAUCGGUAGUAAUCGCGAAUCAGCAGGUCGCGGUGAAUACGUUCUCGGGUCUUGUACACACCGCCCGU